AAUUUUGGAGAUAAAUGGAGUAUUUAUAGGAGAAAAUGAGGAAGUUGGCCGACCCUUUAGGGUUUAGGGGUAGCCGGCCCUAGGGUGGAAUUUGGGUGAGAAUAUUCCAAGAUAUUUGUGUAAAUAAAUAUCUUGGAGUGAUUAGGUAAAUAUACUAAAUAAAUAGGAUUAGGAUUACUUCUUGAAAGAGGUAUUCUCUUAUUAGGAAUAUAUUUUUUUUAUAAGAAUAAGGGAUUAUUGUAUUAUAAAUACCUUGGACUUUUCCUACGGGCAGGGUUGCCUUAAGCAGUCGUUGAUCUCUGCCUGCUCUACCUCAGCUGCGUGUGCUGAAUGAGACUGCUUCCUACUCAUUUAAUAAGGGCAACCUUGUCUUUCUUGGGAAAUAAUCCACGUGUUAACUCCAUGAUUUUUGGGAUUAUUUUUUGCUCCACAAAUGUCCCCACACCUAUUGGGCUGCUUGUAGGAAAAGGGCAUGAGGUGUAGGAAUCCAAAGCUGCAAUGUAGUUUGUGUCCCAAUUUGUUGUAAAUUCCCUAUUUGAUUUGGAAUUUAAAUUCUUCUAGGAAAGGGAAUGUAAUUGCCACCAAAACCUAUUUAAGUCUACGUCAAGUAGGAGAUUAAAUAAAUUUGGAGUCCAACUAAAACCUCACAAGAAAGAGAGAAAGUUAGAAGAUAAUUGUUCCUUUUCCCCUAGCAAUCUUCUUCGCUUGCCCAUGCAAAGAAUUGUGUUCCAUUUCUUUUCUUUUUCUCCAAGGUAAGAAAAUUUUAAUUUUUCUUUUCUUUUUUAUUUUUUUGAGCCUCAAGGCUUGAAUUUUGGCUCGAUGAGGUCGACAAAAAGAGGCAGAUGUAGGGCUGUAGUGGCAGCCAUGUUGUUGCAAGUGGGAGGCGUGGCUUUGCUGGCUGGGGCUAGGUACGGCUCGACUCGGGCUGAGCUGGUUUGGGCCACUAGGCUUAGGUUUGCGUGGCUGACUAGGCUGCUAGGCUUGGGCCCUUGCAGCAAUGGAG
This 1003-nucleotide long non-coding RNA is filed under the name Malus domestica (apple). RNAcentral's name for it is "long non-coding RNA (MDOM_LNC004616)". Lineage: Eukaryota; Viridiplantae; Streptophyta; Magnoliopsida; Rosales; Rosaceae. The record is from RNAcentral.